UGAGGAAUAUUGGUCAAUGGACGCAAGUCUGAACCAGCCAAGUAGCGUGCAGGAUGACGGCCCUAUGGGUUGUAAACUUCUUUUAUAUGGGGAUAAAGUGGGGAACGUGUUCCCUUUUGCAGGUACCAUAUGAAUAAGGACCGGCUAAUUCCGUGCCAGCAGCCGCGGUAAUACGGAAGGUUCGGGCGUUAUCCGGAUUUAUUGGGUUUAAAGGGAGCGUAGGCCGUUUGGUAAGCGUGUUGUGAAAUGUAGGAGCUCAACUUCUAGAUUGCAGCGCGAACUGUCAGACUUGAGUGCGCACAACGUAGGCGGAAUUCAUGGUGUAGCGGUGAAAUGCUUAGAUAUCAUGAAGAACUCCGAUUGCGAAGGCAGCUUACGGGAGCGCAACUGACGCUGAAGCUCGAAGGUGCGGGUAUCGAACAGG
RNAcentral lists this ribosomal RNA (424 nucleotides) under Verrucomicrobiota bacterium. RNAcentral's name for it is "Verrucomicrobia bacterium partial 16S ribosomal RNA". It matches the Rfam family "Bacterial small subunit ribosomal RNA", at positions 355 to 776 of the family's 1533-position model. Lineage: Bacteria; Pseudomonadati; Verrucomicrobiota. The record is from RNAcentral.